Molecule: long non-coding RNA, 205 nt
Filed under: Struthio camelus australis
Lineage: Eukaryota; Metazoa; Chordata; Aves; Struthioniformes; Struthionidae
Description: lncRNA (ENSSCUG00000007639.1)
Source: RNAcentral
CUGCCAGUGAACAUGACAGAGGACAGAAACAAGAGAAAGCUGGUGCAUCACGGCCUUGAUGGAAGCCCUGGGACAGUGGGACAUACAGGUACAGGGAGCCAUCCCGUCCUCAGAAGUUUAAGGAGGCUGUGCCAACAGAAUGCUAAGUCUCCAUAAGACGCAGAAAAGAGACCAUGUAAUAAAUUCUAAUAACUGCUUCUAUGCA